Molecule: ribosomal RNA, 802 nt
Filed under: uncultured Hypocreales
Lineage: Eukaryota; Fungi; Ascomycota; Sordariomycetes; Hypocreales
Description: SSU rRNA
Rfam family: Eukaryotic small subunit ribosomal RNA
Source: RNAcentral
ACGAGGAACAAUUGGAAGGGCAAGUCUGGUGCCAGCAGCCGCGGUAAUUCCAAGCUCCAAUAGCGUAUAUUAAAGUUGUUGUGGUUAAAAAGCUCGUAGUUGAACCUUGGGCCUGGCUGGCCGGUCCGCCUCACCGCGUGUACUGGUCCGGCCGGGCCUUCCCUUCUGUGGAACCCCAUGCCCUUCACUGGGUGUGGCGGGGAAACAGGACUUUUACUGUGAAAAAAUUAGAGUGCUCCAGGCAGGCCUAUGCUCGAAUACAUUAGCAUGGAAUAAUAGAAUAGGACGUGUGGUUCUAUUUUGUUGGUUUCUAGGACCGCCGUAAUGAUUAAUAGGGACAGUCGGGGGCAUCAGUAUUCAAUUGUCAGAGGUGAAAUUCUUGGAUUUAUUGAAGACUAACUACUGCGAAAGCAUUUGCCAAGGAUGUUUUCAUUAAUCAGGAACGAAAGUUAGGGNAUCGAAGACGAUCAGAUACCGUCGUAGUCUUAACCAUAAACUAUGCCGACUAGGGAUCGGACGGUGUUAUUUUUUGACCCGUUCGGCACCUUACGAGAAAUCAAAGUGCUUGGGCUCCAGGGGGAGUAUGGUCGCAAGGCUGAAACUUAAAGAAAUUGACGGAAGGGCACCACCAGGGGUGGAGCCUGCGGCUUAAUUUGACUCAACACGGGGAAACUCACCAGGUCCAGACACAAUGAGGAUUGACAGAUUGAGAGCUCUUUCUUGAUUUUGUGGGUGGUGGUGCAUGGCCGUUCUUAGUUGGUGGAGUGAUUUGUCUGCUUAAUUGCGAUAACGAACGAGACCU